UUUUUCAGGUAACAAUUAUCUUCAUUAUGGAUUCAUCAUGUUUGGUUGGAAUUUUAUUUAAUUGCAAAAAAAUAAUUUUAAUGUCUUAAGCAAAUGUACACCAUAUGAUAUUUUUUUUAUACCACUGUAACAGUAUGCAGAGUGUUCCUCAGUUGGCUAGAAAAGCGCUAUUGCAGCAAGCUCUGUGUGAUCUUUGACCAGCCUUUCUCGCGGCUCAGGCCAAAAGUUCACGCUGGCAUAUACCGUAACCAUUGUGUCUAAAAACCCGCUGUGUGAGUCAUUUCGAAGGGGAACAGUGGAGCCGUGUGGCCAAGUGUGAACCAUUGAACUCUCAUGUCUCACAACUACCCACUCCAGUUCUCAUGAGAAAGUAUGUUACCAACAGUUAGUGAUGCCAGGGUAAUAUUGCCACACGUAUACUUUGAUCAUUUCUGUAAUAAAGAGUCCAGAAUGAGUCGCCCGGGCCGAUCUGUCUCAGCGGCGGGACGCAUCCGUUACAGGCCGAUAAAACUACCGAAACCUAAACGAGGGGUUUCUAUUCAGGAUGUGGAAUCGAGUCCAAUCUGGAACCAGCCCUCCAGGGUUUUUCAUCACUGUUCUAGAUAAAUGUUAAUAAGAUUCAACUAUACUGCCAGUAGAGAAAGGAUGAAGACGAGGAGAUGGAGCAAAAAGAAUCAAUAACGGAUAAUAAAAUAAAAUCACUUGUCAUUCUUGUAUUUUGUGGGGAAAUUUAAUGUGUAAAUAUGCAAGUGAGAGAACAUUUUCUAUUAAAUAAUUUUUGAAUUUA
This is a long non-coding RNA of Astyanax mexicanus (Mexican tetra), 787 nucleotides long. RefSeq lists it as uncharacterized. The record is from RefSeq and is a predicted model, not a curated record. Lineage: Eukaryota; Metazoa; Chordata; Actinopteri; Characiformes; Acestrorhamphidae. The transcript has 3 exons.